Molecule: ribosomal RNA, 1777 nt
Filed under: Besnoitia besnoiti
Lineage: Eukaryota; Apicomplexa; Conoidasida; Eucoccidiorida; Sarcocystidae
Description: SSU rRNA
Rfam family: Eukaryotic small subunit ribosomal RNA
Source: RNAcentral
CCUGGUUGAUCCCGCCAGUAGUCAUAUGCGUGUCUUAAAGAUUGAGCCAUGCAUGUCUAAGUAUACGCUUUUAUACGGCUAAACUGCAAAUGGCUCAUUAAAACAGUUAUCGUUUAUUUGAUUGUCUUUACUACAAGGAUAACCGUGAUAAUUAUAUGGCUAAUACAUGCGCGCAUGCAACUUCCUCUGGAAGGGCAGUGUCGAUUAGAUACAGAACCAACCGCCUUCCGGUGGUCCUCAGGUGAUUCAUAGUAAGCGAACGGGUCGUGUCAUGACUUCCGUCGUCGAGGGCUCAUACAAGUUUCCGACCUACCAGCUUCCGACGGUACUGUAAUGGACCACUGUACCAGUAACUGGUUAAAGGGAAUUAGGGUUCGAUCCCAGAGAGGGAGCCUGAGAAACGGCUACCUCAUACAAGGAAGGCCUCGGGCGCGCAAGCUACCCAAUCCUAACUAAGGCAGGCGAUGACAAGGAAUAACAACUUUGGAAAUUUCAUUUCUAGCGAUUGGAAUGAUGGGAAUCCAAACCCCUUUCAGAGUAACAAUUGGAGGGCAAGUCUGGUGCCAGCAGCCGCGGUAAUUCCAGCUACAAUAACGUAUCUUAAAGUUGUUGCAGUUAAAAAGCUCGCAGCUGGAGUUCUGCUGGAAGCAUCCAGUCCACCCUUAGGAGUGCGCAGUUGGAGAAAUAAGCAUCGUUUUAGCAGCGCUUCACACUCGAUUUUGCGUAGUGUUUUUCCAGGACUUCUAAUAUGAGGAGACUAUGGUGUUUCAAGCAAGCAUGUCCCCUUGAAUACUGCAGCGUGGAAUAAAAAGAUGGGCUGUGGCAUUAUUUUGUUGGGUUUUGGGGUUCAGGUUAUCAUUAACAGGGGCGGCUGGGGGCAUUCGUAUUUAACUUUCAGAAGAGAAAUGCUUAGAUUUGUUAACGAUGAACUACGGCGAAAGCAUUCGCCAGAGAUGUUUUCAGGAAUCAAGAACGAAACUUAGGGGCUCGAAGACGGGCAGAUACCUCGUAGUCUUGACCAUAAGCUAUGCCGACUAGAGCUAGGAAAACGUCACACUUGACUUCUGCACCUUUUGAGAAAACGCGUCUUUGGGUUCUCGCGAGAGUAUGUUCGCAAGGCUGAAACUUGAAGGAGCUGCCGGACAGGCACCACCAGGCGUGGAGCGUGUGGCUUAAUUUGACACGACAUUGGCGGAAACUCACCAGGUCCAGACAUAGGAAGGAUCAACCGAUUGAUAGCUCUUCGUUGAUUCUACACGUGGUGGUGCAUAGCCGCUCUUAGUUGGUGAAGUAUUUUAUCUGGUUGACUCCGUUAACGAACGAGACUUAACUGGCUAAAAUGGAUCAGGAACUUCGUGUUCUUGUACCACUUCUUAAAGGGUCUUUUUGAGCCUAACGCAUGGGCGUUUGACGCAGUAACAGGAAUGUGAUGCCCUUUGAUGUUCUGGGGUGCACGCGCGCUACACUGAUGCAUCUAACGUGUUUAUAACCUUGGCCGAUAGGUCUAGGUAAUCUUGUGAGUAUGCAUCUUGAUGGGGAUAGAUUAUUGCAAUUAUUAAUCUUCAACGAGGAAUGCCUAGUAGGCGCAAGUCAGCAGCUUGCGCGAUUGCGUCCCUGCCUGUUGUACACACCGGCCGUCGCGCCUACCGAAUUUGUGUUCCGGUGGAAUAUUCUGACUGGAUUGUGAUGCGUCUGCGCCCGAGAUGGGAACUUUUGGACCUUAAUAGUUAGAGAAGGAGAAGUCGUAACAAGGUUUCCUUAUGUGAACAUGCGGAAG